Molecule: ribosomal RNA, 1478 nt
Filed under: uncultured bacterium
Lineage: Bacteria
Description: 16S ribosomal RNA
Rfam family: Bacterial small subunit ribosomal RNA
Source: RNAcentral
GACGAACGCUGGCGGCGUGCUUAACACAUGCAAGUCGAACGGAAAGGCCCUGCUUUUGUGGGGUGCUCGAGUGGCGAACGGGUGAGUAACACGUGAGUAACCUGCCCCUGACUUUGGGAUAACUUCAGGAAACUGGGGCUAAUACCGGAUAGGAGCUCCUGCUGCAUGGUGGGGGUUGGAAAGUUUCGGCGGUUGGGGAUGGACUCGCGGCUUAUCAGCUUGUUGGUGGGGUAGUGGCUUACCAAGGCUUUGACGGGUAGCCGGCCUGAGGGGGUGACCGGCCACAUUGGGACUGAGAUACGGCCCAGACUCCUACGGGAGGCAGCAGUGGGGAAUAUUGCACAAUGGGCGGAAGCCUGAUGCAGCAACGCCGCGUGCGGGAUGACGGCCUUCGGGUUGUAAACCGCUUUCGCCUGUGACGAAGCGUGAGUGACGGUAAUGGGUAAAGAAGCACCGGCUAACUACGUGCCAGCAGCCGCGGUGAUACGUAGGGUGCGAGCGUUGUCCGGAUUUAUUGGGCGUAAAGGGCUCGUAGGUGGUUGAUCGCGUCGGAAGUGUAAUCUUGGGGCUUAACCCUGAGCGUGCUUUCGAUACGGGUUGACUUGAGGAAGGUAGGGGAGAAUGGAAUUCCUGGUGGAGCGGUGGAAUGCGCAGAUAUCAGGAGGAACACCAGUGGCGAAGGCGGUUCUCUGGGCCUUUCCUGACGCUGAGGAGCGAAAGCGUGGGGAGCGAACAGGCUUAGAUACCCUGGUAGUCCACGCUGUAAACGGUGGGUACUAGGUGUGGGGUCCAUUCCACGGGUUCCGUGCCGUAGCUAACGCUUUAAGUACCCCGCCUGGGGAGUACGGCCGCAAGGCUAAAACUCAAAGGAAUUGACGGGGCCCCGCACAAGCGGCGGAGCAUGCGGAUUAAUUCGAUGCAACGCGUAGAACCUUACCUGGGUUUGACAUGGAUCGGAAGCGCUCAGAGAUGGGUGUGCCUCUUUNGGGGUCGGUUCACAGGUGGUGCAUGGCUGUCGUCAGCUCGUGUCGUGAGAUGUUGGGUUAAGUCCCGCAACGAGCGCAACCCUUGUUUCACUGUUGCCAGCACGUUAUGGUGGGGACUCAGUGGAGACCGCCGGGGUCAACUCGGAGGAAGGUGGGGAUGACGUCAAGUCAUCAUGCCCCUUAUGUCCAGGGCUUCACGCAUGCUACAAUGGCUGGUACAGAGAGUGGCGAGCCUGUGAGGGUGAGCGAAUCUCGGAAAGCCGGUCUCAGUUCGGAUUGGGGUCUGCAACUCGACCUCAUGAAGUCGGAGUCGCUAGUAAUCGCAGAUCAGCAACGCUGCGGUGAAUACGUUCCCGGGGCUUGUACACACCGCCCGUCAAGUCAUGAAAGUUGGUAACACCCGAAGCCGGUGGCCUAACCGUUGUGGGGGAGCCGUCGAAGGUGGGACUGGUGAUUAGGACUAAGUCGUAACAAGGUAGCCGUACCGGAAGG